Melanaphis sacchari is the source of this 2393-nucleotide long non-coding RNA. RefSeq lists it as uncharacterized. The record is from RefSeq and is a predicted model, not a curated record. The transcript is spliced from 3 exons. NCBI's taxonomy places the organism in Eukaryota, Metazoa, Arthropoda, Insecta, Hemiptera, Aphididae.
GGGCGUGAUACACGAUAUAUAAUGCAAUAUGCAGUUCCGGUAAUAAAUAACAAUAAUUAUAAUUGGUACCGCAAUGAAUUUUUUUCUCAAUUCAUAGAAAAGUUUAAAAAAUUAAACUAAUAAAUUAGUGAGGUCGGACUUGAACAGAUCGUUGAAAUUGUGGUCCAAACUUACCAAAUAUAUCAAACUUGCGUUCCAGGAAGUUGACAGAAACUUUAUGAACAUACUCGUGUCUUUUGAAAUGCGAGUGUUUAGAGUAGUUUUAAUGCGUAGGUACGCAUAAUUAUGUAGCGUGUUCUGUAUACCUACUUGUGUUUAUGUCUCAGGUUUUAGAGCGUUAAAGAUAUCGUGUAUAUGUUAAAAAGAAAACAAUUUCAAAUCCAAUUUCAAGAAAAACAGUAUUAAAGAAACCCCAAAUUUUAAAUCAAAAUAUUUAUUUAUUUUUUUGUAUCUACAUUGUCGUAUUCUUGUUGUUUUUUGUAGUGAAUGAAGAUCACAAACGAUAAUACUUCAACGUUGUUUCCAUAAACAUCCGUCACUAUGUUAAGUGUUGCUAACGUUUCAGACCUAGAUCGAUACUUCAAAGCUUGCUUCUUCUUAAUAUGCACUCAUGUUUUAUCCUUAUCUAUUUAUUUCGAUAAUUCAAUUUUGUGCAGCAGCAAUACAGCCAACUAUAAUAAAAUAUUGAAUUUAGUCAUUUUCAUUUUUUUAAAUGAGGAUAUGCAUUGAAGUAUGACCAUUGGUCAUUACCCAGUGCUCAGUACUAGGUUCGUAGCUAGAAAUUUCAUCAGGAGAAAGAGUGAGCAACGGAUAAUCAAGAUAAUAUGUUUAAUAUGUAGAGCAUUUGUGUGCAUUUCUUUCCGAAAUUAAAAUUUAAUAUAUUUGUUAGCUAUAUGAACAGGGAUGAGCAGUUAUCAAUAACCUAUAUUUUAUUAUUUUAAUCGUUGAUAACAUAUGUUACACGUUUAUAUUUUCUGAAAUAAUACUAGGUACUCUUAUAUAUAAUUGACAAUAGUUGUGUACAUAUAACCUAUACAUCUACCUAAAUAUAUAUGUCUUUAUUGGUAUUUCUUUUUACCAAAAUAUAAUUUUUUCAAUCAUUGUGCAUUGGUAUGUCGUCUAUUUUAUAAUAAUCAUUCCCCGCGCAGUUUGUCUAUAUUUGGUGUUUAAAGGUCUCAAACCGCUGCCAGAAUACCUGAAACCGAUAAAGGUGUUCGAUUUUCUCGACGAGCUGGAUGGUGUAGACGCGGCGAUUGUCUUUGACCACAACAGAAAAACCUACACAUUCAGCGGCACCAAGUACUAGAGGUGUAAAGAUGAAAUGGACCGGAUUGUAGAGUUGGACUACCCAUGGGACAUAUCCAUAAUAGUGGAGUGUAGAAUAUAACGUAGACGCGGCGUUCCAGAGACAUGACGGGUUAGUGAAAUGCAAGCUCUAUAACCGUUUGUUUAAAGUUGAAAGUCUAAAUUUUGAAUUUAAUAGUACAAAAUUGUGUGUCAAAGGUAAGAAAUCAGUUAUAAAAUCAUCUUCCAGCACGAGGCAUACAUAAUUCAUUAUUUAUUUAUUUUUUUUUUUUGUCACUUCUUUAUCGAUAUUAUAGCGACCCGUAAUGAACUGUUUAAGCCGUUAUUGUCUCUUGGUAUAUAUUUAGAUUCACCAAUAGAAAAGUACGGGCGAGUAAUCCUGCCAUUAGAAACUUGCCCGACCACCAGGAUUUUCACUUUUUCGCUCACUGUCUAGUGGAUUUCUGCUCAUUAUUGAAAAUUAAAGAUUUGAUACACGCGGGUCAAAAAAAUUAUCAUUGCGUGUUUAUAUAUCUCUGAAACCAGUUAUUUAUUACUUUCAACUCUCAGGUAUAUCUUUAGGCUUUAGUUGUGGAUUAAUUUUCACACAGGACUCGUGUAAAUGGUGAUAUUAUAACUUGAGCUAGAACUAGAAAAAAUUAUUUAUUAUUGUUUUUCAACUAAAAAUGCAUAAUUAAUAAUAAAAAAUUAAUAUUUAUUGCUAUAGGUGCAACGCACUUCUUCAAGAACCGUGUUUUUUGAGAAUUCGACGAUCUCAAGAUGCUCGUCGAGCUUAGGUUGAUCGAGAGCUCUGAUUUAACGGCACUGUAACAGGCAGCGAUAGAAGGAACGGUGAUCGAAGGUUCGUCACCAAAACAAAUUGCUUGGCAUCCAGCCAGAAGGAUAUCCAUGAUGCCGAAUUUGGACCGCCGACGAUUGUGACGGGUCGUCUGGCGGCGGCGACGUUAGUUCUUUAAGGUCCGUCACUGCUGACUGUACGCCGUUUUUUUCGAGAUUUCGAGAUAGGUAACGAAAAUCGCGAUUUUAUUAUGUCAUUUAACCAAAUAUUAAUAAUAAUAAUAAUCUUAAUUGCGGAUAUGACUCAAUUU